Molecule: ribosomal RNA, 459 nt
Filed under: uncultured bacterium
Lineage: Bacteria
Description: partial 16S ribosomal RNA
Rfam family: Bacterial small subunit ribosomal RNA
Source: RNAcentral
CCUACGGGUGGCUGCAGUGAGGAAUAUUGGUCAAUGGGCGCGAGCCUGAACCAGCCAAGUCGCGUGAGGGAAGACGGUCCUAUGGAUCGUAAACCUCUUUUGUCGGGGAGCAAAAGACGCCACGCGUGGCGUUCCGAGCGUACCCGAAGAAAAAGCAUCGGCUAACUCCGUGCCAGCAGCCGCGGUACUACGGAGGAUGCGAGCGUUAUCCGGAUUUAUUGGGUUUAAAGGGUGCGCAGGCGGAAGAUCAAGUCAGCGGUAAAAUUGAGAGGCUUAACCUCUUCGAGCCGUUGAAACUGGUGUUCUUGAGUGAGCGAGAAGUAUGCGGAAUGCGUGGUGUAGCGGUGAAAUGCAUAGAUAUCACGCAGAACUCCGAUUGCGAAGGCAGCAUACCGGCGCUCAACUGACGCUCAUGCACGAAAGUGUGGGUAUCGAACAGGAUUAGAUACCCGGGUAGUC